UGGGGAAUAUUGCGCAAUGGGGGGAACCCUGACGCAGCCAUGCCGCGUAAAUGAAGAAGGCCUUCGGGUUGUAAAGUUCUUUCGGUAUUGAGGAAGGUUGAUGUGUUAAUAGCACAUCAAAUUGACGUUAAAUACAGAAGAAGCACCGGCUAACUCCGUGCCAGCAGCCGCGGUAAUACGGAGGGUGCGAGCGUUAAUCGGAAUAACUGGGCGUAAAGGGCACGCAGGCGGUUAUUUAAGUGAGGUGUGAAAGCCCCGGGCUUAACCUGGGAAUUGCAUUUCAGACUGGGUAACUAGAGUACUUUAGGGAGGGGUAGAAUUCCACGUGUAGCGGUGAAAUGCGUAGAGAUGUGGAGGAAUACCGAAGGCGAAGGCAGCCCCUUGGGAAUGUACUGACGCUCAUGUGCGAAAGCGUGGGGAGCAAACAGGAUUAGAUACCCUGGUAGUCCACGCUGUAAACGCUGUCGAUUUGGGGGUUGGGGUUUAACUCUGGCGCCCGUAGCUAACGUGAUAAAUCGACCGCCUGGGGAGUACGGCCGCAAGGUUA
This 547-nucleotide ribosomal RNA is filed under the name uncultured bacterium. RNAcentral describes it as "bacterial SSU rRNA". It matches the Rfam family "Bacterial small subunit ribosomal RNA", at positions 355 to 896 of the family's 1533-position model. The record is from RNAcentral.